GAUGAACGCUAGCUACAGGCUUAACACAUGCAAGUCGAGGGGUAACGAGAGGAAAGCUUGCUUUCCUUGUCGACGACCGGCGCACGGGUGAGUAACGCGUAUCCAACCUGCCCCCAACUAGGGAAUAACCUUGCGAAAGUAAGACUAAUACCCUAUAAUUUCCUCAGAUGUCAUCUGACGAGGAAUAAAGAUUUAUCGGUUGUGGAUGGGGAUGCGUCUGAUUAGCUUGUUGGCGGGGUAACGGCCCACCAAGGCAACGAUCAGUAGGGGUUCUGAGAGGAAGGUACCCCACAUUGGAACUGAGACACGGUACAAACUCCUACGGGAGGCAGCAGUGAGGAAUAUUGGUCAAUGGGCGGAAGCCUGAACCAGCCAAGUAGCUUGCAGGAUUACGGCCCUAUGGGUUGUAAACUGCUUUUAUACAGGAAUAAAGUUAGCCACGUGUGGUUAUUUGUAGGUACUGUAUGAAUAAGGACCGGCUAAUUCCGUGCCAGCCGCCGCGGUAA
This 506-nucleotide ribosomal RNA is filed under the name uncultured bacterium. RNAcentral describes it as "partial 16S ribosomal RNA". It matches the Rfam family "Bacterial small subunit ribosomal RNA", at positions 28 to 523 of the family's 1533-position model. The record is from RNAcentral.